RNAcentral lists this ribosomal RNA (497 nucleotides) under uncultured bacterium. Its description in RNAcentral is "partial 16S ribosomal RNA". It matches the Rfam family "Bacterial small subunit ribosomal RNA", at positions 28 to 507 of the family's 1533-position model. The record is from RNAcentral.
GAUGAACGCUGGCGGCGUGCCUAAUACAUGCAAGUCGAGCGAACAGACGAGGAGCUUGCUCCUCUGACGUUAGCGGCGGACGGGUGAGUAACACGUGGAUAACCUACCUAUAAGACUGGGAUAACUUCGGGAAACCGGAGCUAAUACCGGAUAAUAUAUUGAACCGCAUGGUUCAAUAGUGAAAGACGGUUUUGCUGUCACUUAUAGAUGGAUCCGCGCCGCAUUAGCUAGUUGUUAAGGUAACGGCUUACCAAGGCAACGAUGCGUAGCCGACCUGAGAGGGUGAUCGGCCACACUGGAACUGAGACACGGUCCAGACUCCUACGGGAGGCAGCAGUAGGGAAUCUUCCGCAAUGGGCGAAAGCCUGACGGAGCAACGCCGCGUGAGUGAUGAAGGUCUUCGGAUCGUAAAACUCUGUUAUUAGGGAAGAACGAAUGUGUAAGUAACUAUGCACGUCUUGACGGUACUUAAUCAGAAAGCCACGGCUAACUACGUG